AAAUGGAAAGAUAGAGGGUAGAGAAAAAGGAAGAGAGCAGGCUAGGCUUAGUGGAGCACAUUGUUUGGAGAGAAUUGUUCUACUGAGAGUGGAGAUAAAGUGGUGCACCUGACAAGAUCUAGAUGACCACCAGUAACUUCAAUCUCCAUAAAAUUGCUGGUUCUCAGCGUUACUGAGAAGUAGUCAUAUUAACCUCAAAUUUGGUGUUUGGAGAUGAAGUCCCCCAAACUACACUUGCACCCCGAUGUUUAUAGCAGCAAUGUCCACAAUAGCCAAACUGUGGAAGGAGCCUCAGUGUCCAUUGAAAGAUGAAUGGAUAAAGAAGAUGUGGUUUAUGUA
Long non-coding RNA from Canis lupus familiaris (dog), 339 nucleotides. RefSeq lists it as uncharacterized. The transcript is spliced from 3 exons. Lineage: Eukaryota; Metazoa; Chordata; Mammalia; Carnivora; Canidae. The record is from RefSeq and is a predicted model, not a curated record.